Molecule: long non-coding RNA, 369 nt
Organism: Ochotona princeps (American pika)
Lineage: Eukaryota; Metazoa; Chordata; Mammalia; Lagomorpha; Ochotonidae
Exons: 3
Source: RefSeq, a predicted model, not a curated record
AAGGAAGUGAGCAAACAUCAAAGGGGAGAGGAAGACCCCGAGUGCCACUCCAGAGCCGCUCCCGGGGCGGGAGCUGAGCCUCGGAGGAGUCGGGAAGGGUUUUCAGCUCCACCUCCUUAGUGACAAGAGAGCCAAAUUCAGACCGUGGUGAGCUGUGGCCGUUCACAUCCACCAGAGGGACACAGAGGUCGCUAUUAUGAGGACGUGUCGGCUGACACAGCCGCCUUGGAAGAGCUGUCACGGUUUACCAACAGAUGCUUGUGUGUGUUGCCAUUCCCAGUGAAAUGCUUGUGCCUGAGAAAGAAACGCAACCACAUAAAUGAGGCACAUAGAGAUGGCCUCUGAGAUUUGCUUUUCUUUCUGUGUCCA